Molecule: RNase MRP RNA, 258 nt
Filed under: Lachancea kluyveri
Lineage: Eukaryota; Fungi; Ascomycota; Saccharomycetes; Saccharomycetales; Saccharomycetaceae
Description: partial RNase MRP RNA
Rfam family: RNase MRP
About the family: RNase MRP is an enzymatically active ribonucleoprotein with two distinct roles in eukaryotes. In mitochondria it plays a direct role in the initiation of mitochondrial DNA replication. In the nucleus it is involved in precursor rRNA processing, where it cleaves the internal transcribed spacer 1 between 18S and 5.8S rRNAs.
Source: RNAcentral
AUCGUCACUGAUCGAAGCUUACAAAAGGAUUCCCUCAGGAAUCACCAAUGCUUUGGGUUGAAAGUCUCCCACCUGGCCGUAUGCGGAAAACGCAAUGAGAUUUAAAAAUUUUUAAAACUGUUUAAAUCAACUCAUUAGAGAUGCGAUAGUGUCUCUGUUGUCCCGGAAGAUUUACUCUUCUGGUGUUUUCUUCGGUAUGGAAGUCUUAUUGACUUCAAACCAUAGUUAUGACGAUUGUCCCUGCUUUUUGUAGGGGUA